RNAcentral lists this ribosomal RNA (303 nucleotides) under uncultured bacterium. Its description in RNAcentral is "partial 16S ribosomal RNA". It matches the Rfam family "Bacterial small subunit ribosomal RNA", at positions 507 to 807 of the family's 1533-position model. The record is from RNAcentral.
AGCAGUAGCCACGGGAAUACGAAGGGUGCAAGCGUUACUCGGAAUUACUGGGCGUAAAGCGUGCGUAGGUGGUGGUUUAAGUCCGUUGUGAAAGCCCUGGGCUCGACCUGGGAAUUGCAGUGGAUACUGGGUCACUAGAGUGUGGUAGAGGAUAGUGGAAUUUCCGGUGUAGCAGUGAAAUGCGUAGAGAUCGGAAGGAACAUCUGUGGCGAAGGCGACUCACUGGCCCAUUACUGACGCUGAGGCGCGAAAGCGUGGGGAGCAAACAGGAUUAGAUACCCCCGUAGUCCCUGUCUCUUAUAC